Molecule: ribosomal RNA, 494 nt
Filed under: uncultured bacterium
Lineage: Bacteria
Description: partial 16S ribosomal RNA
Rfam family: Bacterial small subunit ribosomal RNA
Source: RNAcentral
GACGAACGCUGGCGGCGUGCUUAACACAUGCAAGUCGAACGGAAAGGCCUGCUUUCCCUUGUGGAUUGCGGGUGCUCGAGUGGCGAACGGGUGAGUAACACGUGAGUGAUCUGCCCCCAACUUGGGUAUAAGCCUGGGAAACUGGGUCUAAUUCCCGAUAGGACUGCAGGGUGGUGCCUGUGGUGGAAAACGAUUUUCUAGUGGUUGGGGAUGAGCUCGCGGCCUAUCAUCUUGUUGGUGGGGUAAUGGCCUACCAAGGCGGCGACGGGUAGCCGGCCUGAGAGGGUGGACGGCCACAUUGGGACUGAGAUACGGCCCAGACUCCUACGGGAGGCAGCAGUGGGGAAUAUUGCACAAUGGGCGGAAGCCUGAUGCAGCGACGCCGCGUGGGGGAUGACGGCCUUCGGGUUGUAAACUCCUUUCGACCGCGAGGAAGCCACCUGGUUGGAAGGGUGGUGACGGUAGUGGUAGAAGAAGCACCGGCUAACUACGUG